AGGGUUCUGUUGGUGACUCAGUUUCUUAGAUUGGGUUCAGAUGACAGUUGAUCAGUUGACUUUGGGUUUCAGAUGAUGGUGAUCAGAGCUCGAGCCGAAGUUUGAUCCUGUGUUCAGAGAUGCACAGCUUGCCAGCCGUGUCUGCAUCAUGUGCAUCAUAGCAUAUUUAUUUUUCAAAAGAAAUGCAAUAAAAAGAAAAAAAAGAGAAAGAAAGAAAAAACUAAUCCCUGCAUGCAUAUCAUUUCUCA
Molecule: long non-coding RNA, 248 nt
Filed under: Lathyrus oleraceus (garden pea)
Lineage: Eukaryota; Viridiplantae; Streptophyta; Magnoliopsida; Fabales; Fabaceae
Description: Pisum sativum (pea) long non-coding RNA (PSAT_LNC028607)
Source: RNAcentral